This 653-nucleotide ribosomal RNA is filed under the name Corynebacterium kroppenstedtii. RNAcentral describes it as "bacterial SSU rRNA". It matches the Rfam family "Bacterial small subunit ribosomal RNA", at positions 89 to 750 of the family's 1533-position model. Lineage: Bacteria; Bacillati; Actinomycetota; Actinomycetes; Mycobacteriales; Corynebacteriaceae. The record is from RNAcentral.
GCUCGAGUGGCGAACGGGUGAGUAACACGUGGGUGAUCUGCCCCUUACUUUGGGAUAAGCCUGGGAAACUGGGUCUAAUACUGGAUAGGACCAUGCUGUAGGUGGUGUGGUGGAAAGAUUUUUUCGGUAAGGGAUGAGCUCGCGGCCUAUCAGCUUGUUGGUGGGGUAAUGGCCUACCAAGGCGUCGACGGGUAGCCGGCCUGAGAGGGUGGACGGCCACAUUGGGACUGAGAUACGGCCCAGACUCCUACGGGAGGCAGCAGUGGGGAAUAUUGCACAAUGGGCGCAAGCCUGAUGCAGCGACGCCGCGUGGGGGAUGACGGCCUUCGGGUUGUAAACUCCUUUCAGCCAUGACGAAGCCCUUGUGGGGUGACGGUAGUGGUAGAAGAAGCACCGGCUAACUACGUGCCAGCAGCCGCGGUAAUACGUAGGGUGCGAGCGUUGUCCGGAAUUACUGGGCGUAAAGAGCUCGUAGGUGGUCUGUCGCGUCAUUUGUGAAAGCCCGGGGGCUUAACUCCGGGUUGGCAGGUGAUACGGGCAUGACUGGAGUACUGUAGGGGAGACUGGAAUUCCUGGUGUAGCGGUGAAAUGCGCAGAUAUCAGGAGGAACACCGGUGGCGAAGGCGGGUCUCUGGGCAGUAACUGACGCUGAG